UACUACGUGUACACGCGUGAAUCGGAAUUACUGGGCGUAAAGCGCGCGUAGGUGGUUCAGCAAGUUGGAUGUGAAAUCCCCGGGCUCAACCUGGGAACUGCAUCCAAAACUACUGAGCUAGAGUACGGUAGAGGGUGGUGGAAUUUCCUGUGUAGCGGUGAAAUGCGUAGAUAUAGGAAGGAACACCAGUGGCGAAGGCGACCACCUGGACUGAUACUGACACUGAGGUGCGAAAGCGGGGGGAGCAAACAGGAUGAGAUACCCGUGUAGUCC
RNAcentral lists this ribosomal RNA (273 nucleotides) under uncultured bacterium. RNAcentral describes it as "partial 16S ribosomal RNA". It matches the Rfam family "Bacterial small subunit ribosomal RNA", at positions 524 to 796 of the family's 1533-position model. The record is from RNAcentral.